Molecule: long non-coding RNA, 270 nt
Organism: Gossypium raimondii (Peruvian cotton)
Lineage: Eukaryota; Viridiplantae; Streptophyta; Magnoliopsida; Malvales; Malvaceae
Exons: 3
Source: RefSeq, a predicted model, not a curated record
ACCUCCAUAAACCCCUUUUCGACAAAAGGGCUCGCUCCUCCUAAAAACCCGCUAAAAGAUUUUAGUUUAUUUUUCCCCCUUCGCAUGCAGAAAAGCCCAGUUUUGAAAGAGUAAUUUGGUCGAGCACCUGGUGUUCAAUGAAAGGCAGCAACAAAGCUACUGUUUUAACUCUUGCUGAGAAAUGCAAGAAUAUAUUGGUUUCAAAUUGGCAAGGUUAUCUUAAUACCAUCAAAACUGAUGCCCAAGGAAGCAAAGAGAAUAUAUACGUCG